Molecule: transfer RNA, 72 nt
Filed under: Daphnia pulex (common water flea)
Lineage: Eukaryota; Metazoa; Arthropoda; Branchiopoda; Diplostraca; Daphniidae
Description: tRNA-Asn
Rfam family: tRNA
About the family: Transfer RNA (tRNA) molecules are approximately 80 nucleotides in length. Their secondary structure includes four short double-helical elements and three loops (D, anti-codon, and T loops).
Source: RNAcentral
UCCUCGGUAGUAUAGUGGUGAGUAUCCCCGCCUGUUAAGCGGGAGACCGGGGUUCAAUUCCCCGCCGGGGAG